AGCGAACGCUGGCGGCAGGCUUAACACAUGCAAGUCGAGCGCCCCGCAAGGGGAGCGGCAGACGGGAGAGUAACACGUGGGAACAUACCUUUUGGUUCGGAACAACUGAGGGAAACUUCAGCUAAUACCGGAUAAGCCCUUACGGGGAAAGAUUUAUCGCCGAAAGAUUGGCCCGCGUCUGAUUAGCUAGUUGGUGAGGUAACGGCUCACCAAGGCGACGAUCAGUAGCUGGUCUGAGAGGAUGAUCAGCCUCACUGGGACUGAGACACGGCCCAGACUCCUACGGGAGGCAGCAGUGGGGAAUAUUGGAAAAUGGGGGCAACCCUGAGCCAGCCAUGCCGCGUGAGUGAUGAAGGCCUUAGGGUUGUAAAGCUCUUUUGACCGGGAAGAUAAUGACGGUACCGGGAGAAUAAGCCCCGGCUAACUUCGUG
RNAcentral lists this ribosomal RNA (431 nucleotides) under uncultured bacterium. RNAcentral's name for it is "partial 16S ribosomal RNA". It matches the Rfam family "Bacterial small subunit ribosomal RNA", at positions 29 to 507 of the family's 1533-position model. The record is from RNAcentral.